RNAcentral lists this ribosomal RNA (446 nucleotides) under uncultured bacterium. RNAcentral's name for it is "partial 16S ribosomal RNA". It matches the Rfam family "Bacterial small subunit ribosomal RNA", at positions 338 to 795 of the family's 1533-position model. The record is from RNAcentral.
CCUACGGGCGGUAGCAGUCGAGAAUCAUUCACAAUGGGGGAAACCCUGAUGGUGCGACGCCGCGUGGGGGAAUGAAGGUCUUCGGAUUGUAAACCCCUGUCAUGUGGGAGCAAAUUAAAAAGAUAGUACCACAAGAGGAAGAGACGGCUAACUCUGUGCCAGCAGCCGCGGUAAUACAGAGGUCUCAAGCGUUGUUCGGAAUCACUGGGCGUAAAGCGUGCGUAGGCUGUUUCGUAAGUCGUGUGUGAAAGGCGCGGGCUCAACCCGCGGACGGCACAUGAUACUGCGAGACUAGAGUAAGGGAGGGGGAACCGGAAUUCUCGGUGUAGCAGUGAAAUGCGUAGAUAUCGAGAGGAACACUCGUGGCGAAGGCGGGUUCCUGGACAUUAACUGACGCUGAGGCACGAAGGCCAGGGGAGCGAAAGGGAUUAGAUACCCGGGUAGUC